CGAACGGGUGAGUAAUGCGUGACCAACCUGCCCCAUGCUCCAGAAUAGCUCUUGGAAACGGGUGGUAAUGCUGGAUGCUCCAACUUGACGCAUGUCUUGUUGGGAAAGUGUUUAGUGGCAUGGGAUGGGGUCGCGUCCUAUCAGCUUGUAGGCGGGGUAAUGGCCCACCUAGGCUUCGACGGGUAGCCGGCCUGAGAGGGCGGACGGCCACAUUGGGACUGAGAUACGGCCCAGACUCCUACGGGAGGCAGCGCG
Molecule: ribosomal RNA, 255 nt
Filed under: uncultured Gardnerella sp.
Lineage: Bacteria; Bacillati; Actinomycetota; Actinomycetes; Bifidobacteriales; Bifidobacteriaceae
Description: partial 16S ribosomal RNA
Rfam family: Bacterial small subunit ribosomal RNA
Source: RNAcentral